AAGUCGUAACAAGGCAAUCGAUCAGGGGCUUGCGAUUUUAUCCGAUAUGGAGGAGCAGAUGCAGGUGGCAGGGGAGGAGGUUCUCUCGGGCGAAAAUGUAUUUAAGCUGUAUGAUACAUACGGCUUUCCUGUGGAUCUUACCUGUGAGAUCUUGGAAGAAAAAGGGUUUGCUAUCGAUGAGGACGGCUUUAAC
RNAcentral lists this unclassified non-coding RNA (193 nucleotides) under fungal sp. Its description in RNAcentral is "partial contains small subunit ribosomal RNA and internal#transcribed spacer 1". The record is from RNAcentral. Lineage: Eukaryota; Fungi.